Molecule: ribosomal RNA, 497 nt
Filed under: uncultured bacterium
Lineage: Bacteria
Description: partial 16S ribosomal RNA
Rfam family: Bacterial small subunit ribosomal RNA
Source: RNAcentral
GAUGAACGCUGGCGGCGUGCCUAAUACAUGCAAGUCGAGCGAACGGACGAGAAGCUUGCUUCUCUGAUGUUAGCGGCGGACGGGUGAGUAACACGUGGAUAACCUACCUAUAAGACUGGGAUAACUUCGGGAAACCGGAGCUAAUACCGGAUAAUAUUUUGAACCGCAUGGUUCAAAAGUGAAAGACGGUCUUGCUGUCACUUAUAGAUGGAUCCGCGCUGCAUUAGCUAGUUGGUAAGGUAACGGCUUACCAAGGCAACGAUGCAUAGCCGACCUGAGAGGGUGAUCGGCCACACGGGAACGGAGACACGGCCCAGAGUCCUACGGGAGGCAGCAGUAGGGAAUCGUCCGCAAUGGGCGAAAGCCUGACGGAGCAACGCCGCGUGAGUGAUGAAGGUCUUCGGAUCGUAAAACCCUGUUAUUAGGGAAGAACAUAUGUGUAAGGAACUGUGCACAUCGUGACGGUACCUAAUCAGAAAGCCACGGCUAACUACGUG